CGCUUCCACCGAUCUAGGGAAGACCAUUCUGCAGAUGGGAGGCGGCCAGGCGGGGGGCA
RNAcentral lists this non-coding RNA (59 nucleotides) under Pyramimonas obovata. The record is from RNAcentral. Lineage: Eukaryota; Viridiplantae; Chlorophyta; Pyramimonadophyceae; Pyramimonadales; Pyramimonadaceae.